This 465-nucleotide ribosomal RNA is filed under the name uncultured bacterium. RNAcentral describes it as "partial 16S ribosomal RNA". It matches the Rfam family "Bacterial small subunit ribosomal RNA", at positions 28 to 507 of the family's 1533-position model. The record is from RNAcentral.
GACGAACGCUGGCGGCGUGCUUAACACAUGCAAGUCGAACGGAAAGGCCCCUUUGGGGGUACUCGAGCGGCGAACGGGUGAGUAACAAGUGAGUAACCUGCCCUUGCCUUAGGGAUAACUACAGGAAAGUGGGGCUAAUACCGGAUAGGAAUCAUUGCUGCAUGGUGGGGGUUGGAAAGCGUUGGCGGGUUUGGGUGGGAUCGCGGCGUAUAUGCGUGUUGGUGGGGUGAUGGCUUACCAAGGCGUUGGCGGGUAGCCGGCCUGAGAGGGCGAGCGGCCCCCUUGGGACUUAGGUUCGGCCCAGGCUCCUACCGGAGGCCGCAGUGGGGAAUAUUGCACAAUGGGCGGCAGCCCGAUGCAGCAACGCCGCGGGCGGGAUGACGGCCUUCGGGUUGUAAACCGCUUUCAGCAGGGGCGAAGCUUGUGGUGACGGUACCUGCAGAAGAAGCACCGGCUAACUACGUG